CUCGGAGAUGAUGGCCACAUAGCCACUGCCACCAGCUCCGAGGCUUCCUUCCUGACACCGCUGCUGAAGCGCACCACCUCCACCAAGAGCGCGCUGCGGCGCGUCCCCUCCGUGGUGGUCAUUGAAAAGGGGAAGGUUCUGCAGAAGAGAAAGGAAUGGGAGCUGAAGUCUGCCAUGUAGCCGGCCCCUUCGUUGCCUUGCACUGUACAGAGCCCAGCUGACUGCGGCUGUGUCUAUACCGUGAACGCUGCGUGUGGACCAUGCAGGAGAAACGCUGUAUCGCUCUUUUGUUGUUUUUUACCGUAGUGAUCCAUGUUAGGAGAAUGCCUUUUGUCCUUUGAAACGGACGGGACUGUCAUAGGUUGUCGGUAGUGGCGGGAAGGGGGCCGGACUGGGUGGAGGUGGGCUCCCCUCCCAACGUGACCGGGUCUGGACUCUUCCCAACAGCAUAUCCCUCCGGUACUAUUUCCAGGGCGCCGAGUCCAAAGUGGCGUGCGAGCUCCUGAGCCACCAGCCUGCUCUUCCUUGCUGGUGGCAUGACAGAGGUGAGGCAGAGAGAGUUUCGUGGUCUGCAUGCACGGAACCUUUCUGCAGCAUAGAUACUGGGGCUGUUGAAUGCCUCCUGACGCAUGCGAUGAAAACUCCCGCAGGCAAACACGAACAGGGGGCACCCACGCUGCUAGACCCUACAGGCAGUGGAGGUGCAAAGGGGCUGUCUAGCUGUGUUUUCUUGAGUCCUUCAGAGUCUUUCAUGGCUCUCCUCCACUCGUCUUCAUAGCAAACAUCACAUUCCCGGGCUCCAGAGAGGUGGCUGCCCUAUUUUUGGUGUGAGAAUCACAAGCCGGGAUGGAAGGAUGCCGCUCUUUGAUAACAUCCCGUGCAUUUUGCAGCAGGGUAUGUCUGAUCUCAGCUGAGUGCUUCUAUCUGGGGGCGCCGGCCCUGCACCCAAGAGUCAAACGGGGAGGAGGCUUUUGGGAGGUGUGUGUGGACUUCGCGUGCUGGGACUGAAAGGAGAAGGGACGUUAGUGGGGACUAAGAAAUGUGGCAGCUGCUUUUAAAGUGGUCCGCAGUGAUCACAGGCUCUGCUAGGAGACACCGUCGUUUCAUUAGCCAUUUAGAAACAGGAAAUGCACUUCGUUUUGGAAACUAACCGUCCAGUAUCAGUGUCCAGUGAGCUAACACCCUGUGCAGGAUGUAGAUGCCGACCAGUGUAGUGAAUCAAGCACAGGGCAGGCAGUUCAGAGAGGAGGUUUUGUUCUCAGCAGUGCCACUCCACAACCUUGGACAAGUCUUUCCCCCUCUGCCUCCCUCGGCUUCUCCCUCUAUCAAACAGGCCUCAUGACGCUGGGCCACUUACCUAAAGCAAUUCGAUCCGCUGCUGGAAACAGCAACAGAGCAAGGGCAAAGUCUGGUUAGAAUCUAGGACUGGCAGAGACCUCAGGAGUCAUCGAGUCCAGCUCCCUGCCCAAAGCAGGGCCAACCCCAACUCAGUCAUCCACCCAGGGUUUGCCAAGCCGGGCCUUCAAAACCUCCAGGGAUGGAGAUUCCAACCCAACCCAGUGCUGGUUAGUCACUUUCUCCCAAGCUUGACAUCUCAGGUGCUCAGUGAAUAUUGACGGCCGAGGCCGACCGGCCGCAAAUGUCAUUACAGCAAGCGGCACAAGAGUGAGAAUAGUGUCAAAACAGGGACAGGGAUUGCAUUUAUCUUCACAAGGCACCCACUGAGCUCCAAGGUAAUAUGUUGUAAAUAAACUAGCGCCCUGUGUUCCACUAACCCCGUAGGAGCUGACGAGACUUUUUCAAAACACAGAGAACUCGUUAUUUAUGUUCUUCGGCCAAGUUGCGGACAACGGGAACCAAUGUCAUGUCACCAUAGUCAGUUGCAUUUUCCAGCUCUGAUCAGCAGUCAAAGCUGCCUGCAUAGGACCCUCCUGCAGUUGGGCCCAGUGUGACAGCAACCCCAGCACACCUGGGAUUGAAACGGACCCUCUGGAGCUAAAAUGCCGAGUUGCUUCUGCUGGGCCGCUAUAAGAGGUUCCCAUCCUCAGCAGAGCGUAGAGAGGGACUCACUGCACCAUCACCCUGUGGGUUUUACAGGGGCUUACUCAUGCAGACCGAAAUUACAGGAUCGGGGUAUGGGAACUUGACUGUAGCCUAAAGCAAGAGACAGUUGAUUUCCAUUGCAUAGUGCUGCAAAGUUUGGGUUGCAAACACUGUUGAAAAGCAACUUUUUGCAUCGGAUUUUGUUUUGUAAUUGUAGAAAUAUUUUUCUAAUGUUCUUGAGUUUUUUAAAAACAGGCUCUUACCAAAUUUUAAAUGGGGAGGAGGGAAAUGUUGACAGUGGGCCUUUAAAAGUCCAUUGUGUAACUCGUUAAUUCAGAAAGAUGUGGGGUUAUAUGGGGGGGGAUCUUCUUUGUUUGUUGUUGCUGGGUUUUGAGUUGUUUUUAACACAUUAUCAUGCCAAAUAAACAUUUCAAACCCCA
Non-coding RNA from Pelodiscus sinensis (Chinese soft-shelled turtle), 2483 nucleotides. Lineage: Eukaryota; Metazoa; Chordata; Testudines; Trionychidae. The record is from RefSeq and is a predicted model, not a curated record.